Molecule: ribosomal RNA, 495 nt
Filed under: uncultured bacterium
Lineage: Bacteria
Description: partial 16S ribosomal RNA
Rfam family: Bacterial small subunit ribosomal RNA
Source: RNAcentral
GACGAACGCUGGCGGCGUGCCUAAUACAUGCAAGUAGAACGCUGAAGGAGGAGCUUGCUUCUCUGGAUGAGUUGCGAACGGGUGAGUAACGCGUAGGUAACCUGCCUGGUAGUGGGGGAUAACUAUUGGAAACGAUAGCUAAUACCGCAUAAUAGCAGUUGUUGCAUGAUAACUGUUUGAAAGGUGCAAUUGCACCGCUACCAGAUGGACCUGCGUUGUAUUAGCUAGUUGGUGGGGUAACGGCUCACCAAGGCGACGAUACAUAGCCGACCUGAGAGGGUGAUCGGCCACCCUGGGACGGAGACACGGCCCAGACUACUACGGGAGGCAGCAGUAGGGAAUCUUCGGCAAUGGACGGAAGUCUGACCGAGCAACGCCGCGUGAGUGAAGAAGGUUGUCGGAUCGUGAAGCUCGGUUGUAAGAGAAGAACGAGUGUGAGAGUGGAAAGUUCACACUGUGACGGUAUCUGACCAAAAAGGGACGGCUAACUACGUG